GAGCACGUUCACGUCUUAAAGCACCAUCUUGGGGAUUCAAAGAUGACAGUACUGAGACUGAGUUUCUUUCACUGAUCUUUCCCAAGGUAGAAGACAAGGAAAGAUUUCUUGGACUGCCCACUCAUUCUCACCAAGACAAUCUUGGUGCUUCCUGAAAGAGAAAUUCAGCUCUCUUCAGAUAAAACCAGUGACAAUAAAUUUGAAGACCUCUCCAAUGCUGCUACAUUUCCCAGACAUUCUACCUAAGCAUCGGGGGAGGAGAUUCUAUCUGUUGCAGUCCUUGAGUCUUUCAAGCACGACCUUGAGCGGCCGCCAACGUAGCAGCAGCAUGUUCAUGCAGUCUCCAUUUGAAGCUGAGUGGAUGAAUCGGUGAUCAGUUCAAGUAACUUCAGUUCUAUCAGAGAACAGCAGCAGAAGAAGGCUCAGAUGAUUCUACAACAACCAGACCUGCCAUGAAUCUCCUGCAGGCUUUGGAAGAUAGCAUUGGGGAGGAGGAAUGAAAAACGGUUCUUAAAAGAGAGUUGUGCAUGGAAAGUUAUCACUGAAAGACUUCCCAGAUAUACUGGAAUUUGGCAGAGGAAUUUGGAAGAGGAAGAGAUGGACAAUAAUCUGAAAGCAUUUUUUGCUGAAGUUAGAGCCUUGUAUGAUCUCCUUCUCCCUACAAAAGAAGUUGCUCUUCCACCCAAAUCCUGAGAAUCAAAUCUGGGACACCAAGAGCAAUCAAUAAUAGGAUGUCCCGCUGGGCCUUGGAUGAAAGCAGAAGGGGAGUUUCAAAUUGCUUGUUCUGAAGAAGAAACCUAGUGGAUGAUGAAAGACCUGCUUAAACUCCCCCUCUGAUUCCAUUCCGGUUGCAGAAGCCUUUGAACGGAAUAUUUACCUGUAAGCAAAUGAGCACUGGAACCAAUUGGAGACUGGGUUCAGACACAGAACGAAUGGCUGCCGAGGCCACAGUGAUCUGCAUUUUUCUCAGCAUUCUUCAUGCAAAGAGAUGACACAGCUAACUCGUUUCUUAGCUAGAGUAACCAUAAGUCCCUGCUUAGUUUUAACAAUCUUUGAUUUUGUGGCUUUCCCUGUAUCCUGGAUGGUACUGAAAAUAUCAGCUGCAUAGUU
This is a long non-coding RNA of Ornithorhynchus anatinus (platypus), 1110 nucleotides long. RefSeq lists it as uncharacterized. Lineage: Eukaryota; Metazoa; Chordata; Mammalia; Monotremata; Ornithorhynchidae. The record is from RefSeq and is a predicted model, not a curated record. The transcript is spliced from 4 exons.